GCCGGGCACAGUGGCACAUGCCUGUAAUCCCAGCAGCUCGGGAGGCUGAGACAGGAGGAUCUAGAGUUCAAAGCCAGCCUCAUCAACUGUGGGGCACUAAGCAACUCAGUGAGACCCUGUCUCUA
This 125-nucleotide small RNA is filed under the name Marmota monax (woodchuck). Lineage: Eukaryota; Metazoa; Chordata; Mammalia; Rodentia; Sciuridae. The record is from RNAcentral.